GGCGGCGUGCUUAACACAUGCAAGUCGAACGAGAAAGUCUUUUCGGAGGACGAGUAGAGUGGCGCACGGGUGAGUAACACGUGGAUAAUCUGCCCCGGAGUUCGGGAUAACCAUUCGAAAGGGUGGCUAAUACCGGAUAGAAUGGAUUCAUGCAGGUGGAUUGAUGAAAGGCGGCACUUUCGGGUGCUGCUGCUUUGGGAUGAGUCCGCGCAUCAUUAGCUUGCUGGUGGGGUAACGGCCUACCAGGGCGACGAUGGUUAGCUGAUCUGAGAGGGUGAUCAGCCACACUGGAACUGAAACACGGUCCAGACUCCUACGGGAGGCAGCAGUGAGGGAUUUUGCGCAAUGGGGGUAACCCUGACGCAGCAACGCCGCGUGAGUGAAGAAGGCCUUUGGGUCGUAAAGCUCUGUCAACAGGGAAGAAGUUACAUUGGAUUAAGAGUUUGAUGUAUUGACGGUACCUGUGGAGGAAGCACCGGCUAACUCCGUGCCAGCAGCCGCGGUAACACGGGGGGUGCAAGCGUUAUUCGGAAUUAUUGGGCGUAAAGUGCGCGCAGGCGGUCUUGUCAGUCAGAUGUGAAAGCCCGGGGCUCAACUCCGGACGUGCAUUUGAAACAGCAGGACUUGAGUACAGGAGAGGAAAGCGGAAUUCCUGGUGUAGAGGUGAAAUUCGUAGAUAUCAGGAGGAACACCGAUGGCGAAGGCAGCUUUCUGGACUGAUACUGACGCUGAGGCGCGAAGGCGUGGGUAGCGAACAGGAUUAGAUACCCUGGUAGUCCACGCAGUAAACGAUGUUCACUAGGUGCAGCGUGUAUUAAAACAUGCUGUGCCGGAGCCAACGCAUUAAGUUUGAAACCCGCCCUUGGGGAGUACGGUUUCGCAAAGAUUUAAAAACUCAAAGGAAUUNGACGGGGGGCCCGCACAAGCGGUGGAGCAUGUGGUUUAAUUUCGACGCAAACGCGAAGAACCUUAACCUGGGUUUGACAUCCUGUGAACCCUCUGGAGACAGAGGGGUGCCUUCGGGAGCACAGAGACAGGUGCUGCAUGGCGUGUCAGCUCGUUCGUGAGAUGUUUGUUAAGUCCAGCACGAGCGCAACCUUAUCUUUAGUUGCCNNAGCUACUUCGGGNNUUGGGGA
This 1136-nucleotide ribosomal RNA is filed under the name uncultured organism. Its description in RNAcentral is "bacterial SSU rRNA". It matches the Rfam family "Bacterial small subunit ribosomal RNA", at positions 38 to 1146 of the family's 1533-position model. The record is from RNAcentral.